UAGUUGGUAUUCUUGUGAAACCAAACUUCAUAAUUUAUUAUAAUCAAUUUAAUUUAACAACUUAUAUCCAAUUUUGGAAUAAGAAUGGAGG
Regulatory RNA element from Clostridium colicanis DSM 13634, 91 nucleotides. It matches the Rfam family "pan motif". The record is from Rfam. Lineage: Bacteria; Bacillati; Bacillota; Clostridia; Eubacteriales; Clostridiaceae.